UCCUCCCUCUGGCUUCGUGCUUAACACAUGCAAGUCGAACGGAAAGGCCCUGCUUUUGUGGGGUGCUCGAGUGGCGAACGGGUGAGUAACACGUGAGUAACCUGCCCUUGACUUUGGGAUAACUUCAGGAAACUGGGGCUAAUACCGGAUAGGAGCUCCUGCUGCAUGGUGGGGGUUGGAAAGUUUCGGCGGUUGGGGAUGGACUCGCGGCUUAUCAGCUUGUUGGUGGGGUAGUGGCUUACCAAGGCUUUGACGGGUAGCCGGCCUGAGAGGGUGACCGGCCACAUUGGGACUGAGAUACGGCCCAGACUCCUACGGGAGGCAGCAGUGGGGAAUAUUGCACAAUGGGCGGAAGCCUGAUGUAGCAACGCCGCGUGCGGGAUGACGGCCUUCGGGUUGUAAACCGCUUUCGCCUGUGACGAAGCGUGAGUGACGGUAAUGGGUAAAGAAGCACCGGCUAACUACGUG
RNAcentral lists this ribosomal RNA (468 nucleotides) under uncultured bacterium. RNAcentral describes it as "partial 16S ribosomal RNA". It matches the Rfam family "Bacterial small subunit ribosomal RNA", at positions 36 to 507 of the family's 1533-position model. The record is from RNAcentral.